AAUAAAUUAGGGGGCAAAGCCGAGGUUCAUGUCACUCAUGAGACUUCAAAAAUCUUUAAUUUAGUAAAUUGAAUACUUUCCUGAGCUAAAUUAUAGAGAGGAACUGGACAUGUUACUUGGGGGGGUCUCAGAAAGAGAUACCUGAAUCAGUGCCUAUAAUUUUUUUUUUCAGAUGCAGCAGACCAUGAAGCCAUUCAAGAGAAAAAAAAUCUAAAAGGAGAACUCAGUAUUUUGGCAACGACCUAGGCUUCCCCGAAUUGUGAGUUGAUUACCGUCGUGAUUUCCUCACGAGCACAUGAUAAGGUGACAGUUUUCCAUGCGACAGCAUGCCUGUGGACUACCUGGCGACCACUGCAGUGUUUCCCAAAGGGUUGCAUGCUUUCUAGCUGCUCAGUUUGAUGCCAGGUGCACCACAGUGUCCACCUCCUCUGCAGAGUGGGAAGUCGCUGCGCUGCCAAGGCAAAUGUCAGGAGGUCUUGUCCUGCUGGGCUUCUCCUCAGAGGACUUUCCAAGAGUUUCACCUACAUGAAGAGCAGGAGGCUGUGGAGCAAAUAAGAGAAGAGCCACUGUUCCCCCCGGGUACCUGCAGAGGAGCCGAUCUGCCUGCAGGUCCAUUGACUCCCGGAUGUGAGCUGCACGGCAUCAGUGCCUCUGGACGCUUGACACUUCUUCAUACGGAGGUGAGUGAUGAGCCACAACACUGGCAGCAGGAAACAGGACAAGCUUUAGGUCUUCUCCAGGAUCAAGCACCUUCAUAUCUGUUCCCUGGGUUCUCAUGGGUGCAGAGAAGGGAUUUCUCCUUGUACUGAGCCAAAUUUCAUUCACCCAGCUUUCCUGGCUGUUUCCUCUUCACUCUGUGGAAGUCCUGCAUAAAGAGGUGUGGGUUAAACCUGACACGUUGUCAGGAAUGCUUCACGUUCCAAAUUUAUGGAGCUGAACGGGGGAGCAAAUGGCCAACAUGCUGUUCGGGAAAGUGUUUGUGACAGGGAGCUGAGGAAGAUUUGAAAGAAAUAUUCUCCAAAGAUAGCCAAAACACCCAGAGACUUGCUCUGAGUUAUGCUUCAGCCUACCAGUUAAUAUGCUUGUGCUGCCCGCUCGUUAAUUGGUAGGGAAGGGGGAGGAAGAAUCCAGACUUGGCAAGCUGGUGCUGCAGACAGAUUUUGUCAGAUGAAAUCCUAAUAGACAUUAGUCCAACAUCAACAGCUCCUGAGCUGUCAUAUGGGAAUAUGCAAGAAAAAGAUAAAACCAACAACCUAAAGGAUGGAUCCUCUAUUUUAAGGGGCAGAGAAGGGAACCUGACUAAUGGAAUUUUUUCUUUUAUUUGUAGAGUUGUGCAGAGAAACAAUGGAAAAUGUUGGUUCCAGCGGAUACAGUUCUGUCUUUUCUUGAAUUCUGAACCUCAUUUAGUUCAGAGUUGCUUAACAUCUCUCUCUCUUGCCUUUACUUACUUGUGAACAGGGGUUUAUCUUAUCUGCCAAAGCCUCAGAGGAGUUGUGAGGGCAGAAUUUGGAAAAGAAUUUGCUAUCUCUGCAAAAAAUCCACAAGUGACCGUGGAAAAAAAUCCCAGACCUACCAUAGCAAAACUCCAGCACAAGUCGAGUAUUUUCUGGAAGUGAAGCGUCCUGUUACAUAAACAUCCUUGAAGCUUUGCAGAAGGGGUGACGUUCACAUCACAUAUGUGGGGCCUGACUAAUUGGGCUUUGUGUGAGAGGAGUGGGGAUGGGGAGGACAAGGAAGUGAAAUCCCCAAGGUGCAAGCAGGGCCUCUUCUUCCCAUGGCCUGUACUGCCGCUUACAUGUUGCAAAGGGG
Molecule: long non-coding RNA, 1809 nt
Filed under: Struthio camelus australis
Lineage: Eukaryota; Metazoa; Chordata; Aves; Struthioniformes; Struthionidae
Description: lncRNA (ENSSCUG00000009844.1)
Source: RNAcentral